This 497-nucleotide ribosomal RNA is filed under the name uncultured bacterium. Its description in RNAcentral is "partial 16S ribosomal RNA". It matches the Rfam family "Bacterial small subunit ribosomal RNA", at positions 28 to 507 of the family's 1533-position model. The record is from RNAcentral.
GAUGAACGCUGGCGGCGUGCCUAAUACAUGCAAGUCGAGCGAACAGACGAGGAGCUUGCUCCUCUGACGUUAGCGGCGGACGGGUGAGUAACACGUGGAUAACCUACCUAUAAGACUGGGAUACCUUCGGGAAACCGUAGCUAAUACCGGAUAAUAUAUUGAACCGCAUGGUUCAAUAGUUAAAGACGGUUUUGCUUUCACUUAUAGAUGGCUCCGCGCCGCAUUAGCUAGUUGGUAAGGUAACGGCUUACCAAGGCAACGAUGCGUAUCCGACCUGAGAGGGUGAUCGGACACAUUGGAACAGAGACACGGUCCAGACACCUACGGGAGGAAGCAGUAGGGAAUCUUACGCAAGGGGCGAAAGCCUGACGGAGCAAAGCCGCGUGAGUGAUGAAGGUCUUCGGAUCGUAAAACUCUGUUAUUAGGGAAGAACAAAUGUGUAAGUAACUAUGCACGUCUUGACGGUACCGAAUCAGAAAGCCACGGCUAACUACGUG